GGGGUAUUCUGGUUGCCUUACCCAGCUCUGAAGUCUGUCAGCCUCUUCAGAUGUCACUUGCCCUGUGGUAAGGAAGUGUAGUUGGCAGCUGGUGCAGUGGCAAGAAGAGAAAGGAAGUUCCCCAAGACAGAAACAUCUCGGCAGAUGGAAUUCGCUGUUUCGCCCAGGCUGGAGUGAAGUGGCGCGAUGUGGGCUCACUGCAACCUCCGCCCCCAGGGUUCAAGGGAUUCUCCUGCCUCAGCCACCAUGAUUUAACACUGAGAAGUAGGCAGUCACAGAGAAAAAGUUUGGAAUAGUUCACCAGUGAAGUCAUCUCAACCAGCACAGGGCCUUGACUCCUAACAACAAUCACACGAACUUGGAAGAGGAUCCUUCCCCAGCUGAAACUUCACUUGAGACCUUCUCAUUGGCCAUCAUCGACAUCUGGAUUCAUGAUACAGAGAAACUUGAGUAAUGAUGACAAUAGCAGUCCAGCCUGCAUGGAUGCUGACAUGGAUGCUGUCUCCCAUUCUUACCACUGGAUGUCAAGAACUGCUAGAUGCGAUCCAGCCAGUCUGUACUCGACUCUCAGUUCCAUCUUCUCAACUCACAGUGUCUUCCAAAGUCCAUGCCACACCACAGCCUGGAAGAUCUCCCAAGGCUUUGAAUAACUCACCAGUGAAGUCAUCUUGACCUGGACAGAAAUUGAAUCCUCCCAAGAAUCCCAGGAGCUUGGAAGGGGAUCCUUCCCCAGAUGAGCCUUCCCUUGAAAUCUCUGCCAGGCAUCUGACCCAGAGAAACUGCCACACCACUUUACAGAGGAACACCAGGGAUGUUCCAGGAACCAUGCCCACAAAGCUUACUAAGCCAUGGGACUGCAUACUACACUCCCAAGGACAUCCACAAAGUCAAGACUCUUGCGUUUUCAGACUGUGAUCAUGGGCUACAUUCUCCAUACCAUGUUCAUAUCUACAGUGAAAAAACAAACUCCUGCAUCCUGGAGACCUACAAUGAGAGACACAGCUGACCUUGACCAUAUUUCUUACUUCUCAGAAGACUGUAGCAGUAAUUCAGGUGCUAUUAUUUGGGGCAUUUAUAUUUCAGUAAACCUUCUUACCCCUCUAA
This 1104-nucleotide long non-coding RNA is filed under the name Homo sapiens (human). Its description in RNAcentral is "Prader-Willi region non-protein coding RNA 1". The record is from RNAcentral. Lineage: Eukaryota; Metazoa; Chordata; Mammalia; Primates; Hominidae.